UGAAGCAGGUGGAUGCUGGAGGUGUUCAGUUUAUUGUUGGACGAUACUCCAUACUGUCGGACACCCACAAGGGAACAGACACCCCUUCCAGGGCCAGGAAGUGUGAAGAACUACAGUUGUGGACCCUUUGGAUGCUGGGCAGUCAACAAGAACGAUGUUAUCUACUUAAUGAGUCUGAAUCAAGACUGUCAAAACAACGGGUGGAGUCACAUUGACUGCAAGUUUUUUGUGAUUGAGGUGGAAACUGAUGGUAGUGGGGUCAACUUUUGGGGUGAUGUUUAAACUAGGUAAGGUUGUGUUAGGUUCUGAACAAACAGAGUACAAACUCACAAAAAGCUCAAACUAAGUUAAUUCACCCACUGGUCCUCCCACUAGCCGGAAUCAACUCCUUGCACAUCUAGACAGCCAAUACAUCUCUGUUGCUAGUCAAGAACUUGUUUGGUUCCUCUUACUGGUGUAGUCAUGGCCCCGCUUGACGCUAAAACCUUUGUGGUCUGUUCCUUCUCACUCCAUCUGACCUGUGACCUGGGCCGAAUUCCUCUCUCCUCCUUAAUCCACGCCUGUCCUCCCUUAUCUGUGACUGAAACCAGACAUUUGCCCUGUGCUUCCCCCCUUAGGAUCCAUGAGAUUCAACAAUAACAUGUUAGGACAGAAUGUAAUCUUUCUUCAUUCCCAUGUCUCAGUCAACAACUUUCCAUACACCUGCAGUACCAGUCAAAAGUAAGGACACAUCUACUCAUUCAAGGGUUUUUCUUUAGUUUAACUAUUUUCUACAUUGUAGAAUAAUAGUGAAGACAUCAAAACUGUGAAAUGACACAUAUGGAAUCGUGUAGUUGCCAAAAAAGUGUUAAACAAAUCAAAAUAUAUUUAAUAUUUUAGAUUCUUCAAAGUAGUAUCACAGAGUGAUCCAAGAUGGCAACCCGCCUCACCCAAUGUCAUACGGAUCCGCUAUUGUUUUUUGACCUUACAGCUAGAACCUCCAUCAGAAGCUAGCCAUCAGAUGCUAAUCAGCUAAUUAGCUACUAGCAAGUUAGUCAUUGUUAGCCACUGCUAGCGGCCUUUACCUCUAGCUCAGACACCAGCCACAUUUACCCUGGAUAAUAUCCGCCAGUCUGCUCAGUGCGAUAUCAACCCUGAGAAUAUUGGACUGCUUUUCUCCACCAUUACUCCAGAUUACUCCAUUACUGGACCAUUACUCCAGAUCACCACAGCUAGCUAGCUGCUACCGACUGGCCCAGCCCCGAAGCUGGCCUUUGAGCCAGGCCCAUCUCCCGGCCUGCCCAGUGGACCCUAUGAUCACUCGGUUGCACAGCUGAUGCCCCCCUGACUCUUCACUAGCAUGACUAGAAGCCACUACAUCGCUGGAUUCCUGCCGUAAGCUCUGAACCUUCUGCUAGCCCUGGCCUGCUAACCUUUAUGAACGCUGUGUCUCCCGCUUGCUAGCGUAGUAACGACUUCCCUGUUUCAUAUUGCUGUUCACUGGACCCUAUGAUGCCUGGCUCCAUAGCUGAUGCCUGCUGGACUGUUCAUUAAUCACGGUCCUCGCCAUUUUACCUGUUGUUGUUGUCUUAGCUGAUUAGCUGUUGCUGUCUUACCCGUUGUUAACUUAGCUUACUCUCCCAAUCAACAACUGUGAUUGCUUUAUGCCUCGCUUUAUGUCUCUCUCUAAUGUCAAUAUGGCUUGUAUACUGUUGUUUAGGGUAGUUAUCAUUGUUUUAUUUUACUGCGGAGCCCCUAUCCCCACUCAACAUGCCUCGGAUACCGCCUUUCCCCCCACAAAUGGGGUGACCUCAACUAGCACCUCCAGAGAUGCAACUUCUCUUAUUGUCACUCAAUGCCUAGGUUUACCUCCACGGUACCCUCACCCUAGCAAACCCCUGUCUGUACAUUAUGCCCUGAAUCUUUUCUACCAUGCCCAGAAAUCUGCUCCUUUUAUUCUCUGUCCCCAAUGCAAUAGACAACCAUAUUUGAUAGCCUUUAGAUGUAAAUCAAAUCAAAAUCAAAUCAAAUGUAUAUGUAUAGCCCUUCUUACAUCAGCUGAUAUCUCAAAGUGCUGUACAGUAACUCAUUCUAAAACCCCAAACAGCAAGCAAUGCAGGUGUAGAAGCACGGUGGCUAGGAAAAACUCCCUAGAAAGGCCAAAACCUAGGAAGAAACCUAGAGAGGAACCAGGCUAUGAGGGGUGGCCAGUCCUCUUCUGGCUGUGCUGGGUGGAGAUUAUAACAGAACAUGGCCAAGAUGUUCAAAUGUUCAUAAAUUACAAGCAUGGUCAAAUAAUAAUAAUCACAGUAGUUGUCGAGGGUGCAACAGGUCAGCACCUCAGGAGUAAAUGUCAGUUGGCUUUUCAUAGCCGAUCAUUGAGAGUAUCUCUACCGGUCCUGCUGUCUCUUGAGAGUUGAAAACAGCAGGUCUGGGGCAGGUAGCACAUCCAGUGAACAGGUCAGGGUUCCAUAGCCGCAGGCCUAACAGUUGAAACUGGAGGAGCAGCACAGCCAGGUGGACUGGGGACAGCAAGGAGUCAUCAUGCCAGGUUGUCCUGAGGCAUGGUCCUAGGGCUCAGGUUCUCCGAGAGAGAGAAAGUAAGAAAGAGAGAAAGAGAGAGAGCAUACUUAAAUUCACACAGUGUCAUGUCUUCCACUGAAGUCUGUUCCUCUCCUUGUUCGGGCGGCGUUCGGCGGUUGGCGUCACCGGAUUUCUAGCCACUGUCACGCCCUGGCCAUAGAGAGGCUUUUAUUCUCUAUUUUGGUUAGGCCAGGGUGUGACUAGGGUGGGCAUUCUAUGUUCCUUUUUCUAUGUUUUUGUAUUUCUUUGUUUUUGGCCGGGUAUGGUUCUCAAUCAGGGACAGCUGUCUAUUGUUGUCUCUGAUUGAGAACCGUACUUAGGUAGCUCUUGCCCACAUGUGUUUUGCGGGUAGUUGCUUUCUGAUUUGUACCUGACGGUGCUGUUUCGGUUGUACUUUUUGUUACGUUGUAUUUAAUAAAUAACAACGGCUAUUACAGCCACCUUCGGUCCACUUUUCAUUUUCUAUUUGUUUUGUCUUCCUACACACAAAGUUCUCAUUUCCCUCAUUAAGUGUUGUGUAUUUAACCCUCUGUUCCUCCCCAUGUCUUUGUGUUGAAUUGUUUGUUGUAAGUGCUUGUGCACAUGUUUACUGGUGCGUGUCGGGUUUUGUACACAUGUUUGUUAUUGCUUUAUGCUGUUAGUUUUGAAAUUAAACUGCUCCGGCUAUUACCUG
This is a long non-coding RNA of Oncorhynchus nerka (sockeye salmon), 3235 nucleotides long. RefSeq lists it as uncharacterized. The record is from RefSeq and is a predicted model, not a curated record. NCBI's taxonomy places the organism in Eukaryota, Metazoa, Chordata, Actinopteri, Salmoniformes, Salmonidae. The transcript is spliced from 2 exons.